Molecule: ribosomal RNA, 362 nt
Filed under: Polyplocia sp. EP361
Lineage: Eukaryota; Metazoa; Arthropoda; Insecta; Ephemeroptera; Euthyplociidae
Description: partial 16S ribosomal RNA
Rfam family: Bacterial large subunit ribosomal RNA
Source: RNAcentral
GUGCAAAGGUAGCAUAAUCACUAGUCUUUUAAUUGAAGGCUUGUAUGAAUGGCUGGACGAGGUAUUAGCUGUCUCCUCUCAGAUAACUGAAUUUUACUUCUUUGUUAAAAGGCGAAGAUGUUGUUGAAGGACGAGAAGACCCUAUAAAGCUUUACAGGAUAGGAUAUAAAUACUUAGAAGAUUUUAUAUUUAUAUUUGUACUUGUUGGAUUGGGGUGAUUGGGAUAUAGGGAAACUAUUCAUAAUUUUACACUGAUGUGUGGUUAAAUGAUCCAUUUUGUGAUUAUAAGAAUAAGUUACUUUAGGGAUAACAGCGUAAUCCUUUUGGAGAGUUCUAAUCGAUAAAAGGGUUUGCGACCUCAG